Molecule: long non-coding RNA, 1708 nt
Filed under: Macaca mulatta (Rhesus monkey)
Lineage: Eukaryota; Metazoa; Chordata; Mammalia; Primates; Cercopithecidae
Description: lncRNA (ENSMMUG00000054214.1)
Source: RNAcentral
AGAGGAGAGAGUGGCCCGCUUUCGGUCACACAGGAGCGGUGGAUCCUGCAGCCCAAAUUUGUCUUGUAUCACUGAACUCUGCAAUGGACAGCUAUGCAUUCCUUACAGAUCCUUAAGAGGGCAUAUGAAAAACUAGAAGAAAGCAUCCCAGGAGAGACCUCUCUCGGGGGGAGUAACAGUGAACGUGGCUUGCCCGUCUCGGAAAGAAACCCCGAAGGACAUUUUCCUUGUUAAGAUUCCUCUCGUUAAAAAGCUGUGCAGUCCUAAAAUGCUAUUGAACAAUAGCUUUUCGCACAGAGGCUGCGUAGCCAAUAGUCCCCUCUAAGCUGCUGCAACCCCACCGCUUCCAUCUCCCCCAGAGGCAGCAGGGCUGGAGCCCAGGGCUCUGCUGUGGGCCUCCUCGGCCUCACCGUCCUCACCAGCUUGGCUUCCGUUCCUUCUGAACAGUCUUCUCCCCGGGCUACUUCCACUUCCCUGUCCGUUAGGAAGGCUAUAGGAAAAGUGACUUCUAAAACUUUUAGUUAUGACAUCUCUUCAGUGCCAAUUGUUGGUUGGUGCCGUAGUUGUCGAGGUUUGCCUAAAUUUUGUCUAAAGUUAGACACUUUACUUGGGAACAUUGUCUGAGAUCUACAUCAGAAAAAGAUCCGGACAGGUGAUUUGCAGUCCACUCAAACCAUUGUCAAGUGGUUCUUUCAUUUCAUUUAUUUAUUUUCAGAACACUGCUAUGAGUUCCUGAAAUGAAAUGAAAGGUUUGUAGUGAUUAGUACUUGAAAGGAAUAGGUCCCUGCUGGUAGACGUUUCUGGUAAAUUUAUGUAAAUCUGGUAAAUUUUUGCCUUCCUUCCUUCCUUCCUUCCUUCCUUCCUUCCUUCCUUCCUUUGCUCCCUCCGUCCCUCCCUUCUUCCUUCCUUUCUUCCUUCCUUCCUUCCCCCCACAUGGAGACCCGUGACCUCCAACAGGGUGAAAAUAUGUCUACCUGGGCCAUUUGGCCACCCCAGGUAUAGUGGUCCAGCUCAGCUAGGGGAGGUCAAAGGUGAGAAAGAUUCAGCCCCUGCCCCCCAGCAGCGUUCAACAGUUAUUUUUGUAGGCUGGGUGUCAGUCAUUGUGGAUUUGCUAAUAUCCUGGGUAUUAAAUCAUCUCCCCAUGGCACCCAUUUUUCUGGAAACCUUUAGUACCUUCUUGCCAUCCUCCAACUAGCAAUGUCCAGAUUCAUUUCCCAGGUUUCAUUCCCCACCAACCUGGUCCCUCAAUUACAGAAAACCCUGCGGCCUGCCUGUCGCCCACAAGAAAUAUACCUGGGAAGUAGCCCUCAGUCAGUGGCUCUGGGGAAGGUGUAUAAAUACCCCAGCUCCCUUGCCUUGUGGGUGGAUGACUCUGAGAUAUGAGUUGUGCUGCUUCUUAGGGUUUCCCCACAAGCUGAAGUUGUAGUUGCCUACUGUGAUAGCUGGCUUGAUGGAACACCCUCUAUCAUUUGCCUUUUCUUCCGUGUAUCCCCUCUGCAUGCCCCUUCCAGUGUCCUGGCAUCUCCUAAAUAAACUCCUCUACUUGAGUCCUGGCCUCUGGACAUGGUUCUCGGAAGACCAAGAAGUUACCUGGAUAUGUUGGUCACAAAAGUGAUAGUUAGCAUCAAGGAAUGGGGUUGUAUAAGUGUAUAGUGAAUAUGAAUCUUGCUGUUUGUGUUUUAACUUACAGAAAUAAAUUGUCCCAAAA